This 8649-nucleotide long non-coding RNA is filed under the name Hordeum vulgare. Its description in RNAcentral is "long non-coding RNA (HVUL_LNC001650)". The record is from RNAcentral. Lineage: Eukaryota; Viridiplantae; Streptophyta; Magnoliopsida; Poales; Poaceae.
UUGAUCCCAGCUUCAUGCCAAGCACCGUAGAGGGCAUAGGGGAGGUCUUCUUCCCCAGCUCCGGCCACCCGACCUGCCUUGGGUACGGGCUAAGUUCGCCCAAGGUGGUCGAUUCCCUCUGCUCUAGCCUCACCCGUACUCCCCUAGUAAUCCAUCCUCUCUUAUCUGCGCGUCAAUUUGACCUCUGCAGGUCAUUGUGGUGAGAUCCAUCCUCCCUCGAAGCCGAUGAUCGCCGAGAGGAAGCCGCCGAUGCUGUGGUGCUCGUCGGUGAGCCAAUCCACCACUCAUCGACGCGGAAUAGUCCCCUCAACAAUCCUGUGCACCAUCACGAGCUCUGUGUUGCCGGUGAUAAUUUCAAACCUGUCAUGGGUGGCCCACCCGUUAGGUUCUUUUCUUUUCCGGACUUUUUUUUGAAGGCACCUUUCACCGGAGUGCGUUUUCUUCUCGGGCUGGCGUAGUUUCCUUAGAACAUUUUUUGUUUUCUCAAUCUAGCCCAUGGGUAACUUUCUGUUUACAAUAGAUAAGUCUCUAGUUGCAUUUCCUUUAUAAUUUUUAAACUAAAAAUAGUUUUUUGGUUGAUUUUUUUUGAAAGCUUUAUUUUUUUGUCUAGUUUUUUUGUGAUAUUUAUUUAAAAUAUUUUGGUACAACUUUUAUACAUGCACAGUAUUUACGUAGAUAUCGAUAUUUUUUGACGUAGAUACCAAGGGAGAAGACGCCGUCGUCCACUUCACCGAGUCCACUUCAACUUCGUUGAUCCAGGCAAGCAUGUUUGAACCUUUGAUAUGGUGUUUGUUUUCAUGUUUGCUCGAUAAAAAAUACUGCAUGUAGACAUGGUAGCAUGACGUGUUGAUAUGAUUUCAUGCAUAGAUUAUCUUAAAAUUGUGUAGUGACGGAAAUAUUUUGACGACCUAGUCACACGGGACGUGAUAGGUUGUGGUCUGCUCAUGUUGGAGCAUGCUAGUACCUUAUCAAAUCUAACAACUCCACUAUCGGCAUAAAUCGUGUCUUGUCAGUCUGUCACCUUACUUUUCCGUGCUGCCACAUGCUAUAUCGGAAGGGAUACCGUUUAGUAGGUUGCAAACCUAUUUCCAUGUAAACACCAAGUAGAGGGGCCGAAUGAAGGUUCCAUUGCCCUGGAAUAAUGCGAGUCAUCCAGUCAUGGGGCAUGGGUGUUUUCGACUGAGCCCUAGAGGGGGGAUCCCUUAGUUACGCACGAUAUAAGUUGAUCCCAUGCUAUUCGAGGUGUCGACCUCUCCAUCUUAUAGUUUUUCUUGAGCGUGGUUUCGGGUGAUUCCGGGCCUCGCAGGGUGAAAUGGGUGUGUACUAGUUACAUGUGUUUACUUUCAAAAUACUGUAGGUGGGACUAGUCUAUGUGACUAUCGAAACCCGUUGGCUGUGACUAAAGAGUACACCCUCUAUAUAGUCAAAAUUAUUUGAGUAGCCGUCUCCGCGGUCAAGGACCACUGGUUGACAGGUCAACUGUCGGUCUUCGUGUUGGUCUCUAGAAAGCAAAUAAUGUUUUAUGAGAACAUUUACCUAUGACAUUAUGAAUGUGAUGCUUGUGGCUAAUCUGUUAUAAUGAAUGAUGCAUUGAGUACUCCGUGCACUAUUAGGAAAAGGAUUGCUAAUGGCGCACCUAUUUUGGCUACUAAUGGCGCACUAUAGGUGCGCCACUAGCAUCAUGCCAUUAGAUUUUUUUACUAAUGGCGCACCACAAGUGCGCCAUUAGUAUCUGGUAUACUAAUGGUGCACCAGGCAGUGCGCCAUUAGUAUUGCUCACGGUGCGCCAUUAGUAUCUGGUAUACUAAUGGCACACCAAGUAGUGCGCCAUUAGUAUAGAUCCCGGUGCGCCAUUAGUAUAGAUCCUGGUGCGCCAUUAGUAUAGAUCCUGGUGCGCCAUUAGUAUAGCUUAUGGUGCGCCAUUAGUAUGCCUCCCAGGGCCAUAUUUACCCAUAUGCUCUGGCUUACUAAUGGCGCACUAGUUGACGAUGCGCCACUAGUGUGCUUUUGAAGUGCGCCACUAGUGUGCUGAGUGAUGCGCCACUAGUAUGAAUAUUAGGUUUUUUUUUUGAUAUUUGCACAGAUUACAAAAUAUAUUAUUGCACAGAAUAUAGAUAGCACAACAUAUAAACAACAAAUUUAUCGAAUACAAUAGAAGAUUAGUCUCCCAAUACAAUUCAUCAUAUUAGUCUCCGAAUUUAAAAUACCGAACAAAGUUAGAACAUUACAAGUCUCGAGACCGCGAGUAGCGAGUUUGUCUUCACAUUACAAGUCGAUAUCGACCAUCUAAACUACCAUCACAUAGAAGAGAGCUGCGGUCAUCACGAUGAGCAUAAUUGCAAUGAAACUGGCCUUCAUCCGGUUCCUCCAACGCUCCCUCCUCUCUCCCGCUAGAUAGCGCGCGUAUCUAACUUCCACCUCCGCCCUUGUGGUGUACCCUUUGUAACUGUUACCGCUGAAUCGAUGAACCUGUCUCCGACACUCCUCCUAGUCGUCGUAGACUCCGGGAACCUUACCCUUGUACACGACAUACGACGGCAUCUCUAUGCACUAGCCAAACAAAACGUUAGUAGCAAUUCACACAGACAUACAAGUUCAUUAAAGUUUAAUAUUACAACUAUAACAACACGAUUCAUGGUCCUACUAAUAAAUAGCAUCGAUUAUAUAUAAGUUGAACGACUGUCCAAACCAAAGAGACAUACAAGUUCAUUAAAGUUUAAUAUUGCAACAUGAAUUAGUAGCGAUUCACGGGAACGUGGAUGAAGCCGCCGUCUUUCGUGAUGGUCAUGAAAUUGCGGUCGUUGUCAGCCUGCAUUUGUAGCAUUGUAUCUAUCUCACUAUUGGACAGCGGAGAUCUGAGGUAGAACUGCCCCGAGGUACGAAGGACAUCUUGAUGGAUGAUUUCCGCAAACUCCGACUGGAUGCGAAAGAAUUCUUGUCUGAUGUCCGCAUCCUGGAUUGCCGACUAGCGUGCGGCCCAAUCUUUGAGAUUAUUUGGUAGCCGAAGGUGAUUACUGCCCCGUAUGAUCGCCCGCAUGUGAUGGAGGGCGUAGUAGGCAUCCUUCUGACUGCCAGGCGGCUGCUUGACGCAGGCGAACGUCGUAUUGUGGGUGAACACGUGCUUGCCGUGCCUGAGACUUGUCCUGCUGAAGGUGCCUCCAGAUAUGGCGUAGCCGGGAAGAGCUCCAUCAAGAACUUUCUUGAUAUUUGUGUAGUCUUUUUUUGACUGACAGUCCGAGUUGAAAUACGUGGCCGUGGAAUAUUUCAGGCUUAAGAGGAUGAGUGUGCAACGUGUGUCACUGCACAAAACACGGAAUGUUAGAAAAACAAGGACGAUCAAAAUCUAAGAAAUCAUAUGUUACGGGGCGAUGAGGGGAUAACUUACGAGGGAAAGUAAGGCACAAGGAAGUUAUCCUUUUCUGAGUUUGCCAGAAUGACGCCUUCGAGGUAUGAACUCGCGACUUGCCGGUCCCCAGCGCUGCCCAAGAUCUUGGCACGCAUAUAGAAGGGGUCGACUAUCACUAGGUCCGGGGUCUUAUCUCUAAUGAUCCGCAUCUCCAUACUCAGCGAAAAUAGCCGAACGAAGGUGUAGUGCAGCGGAUGAAGGUUAAACAUAGCGAAGAUGUCAGCAAACCGCAGGACGAUCAUACCCCCGAUGGCGCUAUCGACAAAGCCCUUGCCCUCUGGCACCUUGGCCACGAAAACCGGGUAUGCCACAUUAUUCUCGGAGAGACGUCGCUUCUCCAAACAAAGAAUACUGUCAUGCAGACUCCGCAUAGCACCGGUUGCAACAUUGAGCAGAUUAGUCGGUAGCAUCGGCCUACCCGCCACAUGCACCCUCCUCGAGAUAUCCUUAGGUGAAGGUGGCCCGUCCAGAGCACGGAUCGUACUCAGUGCCGGCUGGCUCGCACUCUUGUUAGUCUUUCUUUUCCGUCACUUCUUCUGCUGAUGUAAUGGGAUCGAGUUCAUCUGCUCAGAGACCACCUUCUUGAGUGUGUUGGGGCUGAUAAUAUUUCGCACCUCGGCUAUCUGAGGCUCGGUGAAGGCGGCAGCUGGAGGCGUCUCCUCAAAACUAAACUCCAGACAACGCCUGUUGCAAUUGGGUUUCUCCGCGGUACCAGCUAGAUCGUGGUCGUCUUUUGCAGGGUUGGGUUCUUGAGAAGGAGGCCCCAAGAAUUCCUCACCGUACCCAUGUUCGGCAAAGUACUUAUCGACCUUGGUAAAUGUACCAUCGUCGUCAUCGUCGUCUUCCGAAUCCUGUGUCAUAUGCAUGUCCGGAUCCUGUGCCAUAUGCAUGUCCGGUAGCAUUGCGGCGGUCUUGCCAUGGCUUGGCGCCGGCACGACUGGCGAUGUUGUCUGUGGGGUGGUGUCCCCCGCCCCCAAACGAAUCUGGAUCUUCGGCCAAAGCAAGGGCCAGCUUAAGCAGGUGCUGAGGGUCAUCACAUCAUCUUUGUCGGCCCCAGCGGGGUGGAACGGAGGUAACAAGUCGUCGCAGCCUGGUAGCACCCGAACCAGUUGAACCCUAUACGUGGUGGGUGGCAUCGGUUUACCGUGGAACAUGGGGUUGCCUGAUUGAACGAUUCUGCCCUUGGCAACAUCGAUCAACUCGCCGCCCAUGAAGUGCAGGAGAGUGCAUGGAACGUCGGCGCCGGCGCCCUGCGAAAACAUGUAGGGCGUCAGGGGAUGCCUAGUCAAAGGCAAGGAGAUGAAGUCAUCGACCGAGAGAGGCUUAGUUACCGUGAUGGCGUCGAGCUCGGCUAAUGUCGAGGCACCGCCAACGGCGGGCGUGCAAAUGACGGAGGGGCCGCUUGCUGCCGAGGUGCCGGUCGGCGCCGAAGACACCAACGGCGCCGGCGCCGGAGACACCAAUGGCGUCGUCUGUGCGUUGUGCGAGUUGCUGGCCGUGAAGCUGGGAAUCGGGGGCGGCCCCUGUUGGCCGCCCGCAAUCCACGCCUGCAACCCCUCAAUCAAGGUAGGCACAAUGGCGGUGAUCACCCCUCCCACUUGGUGUUGCACUAGCUCUUGGACCAUCUCCGGAAUCCGCGCCACUUUUUCCUUGAGUUCUUCAACCUCGGGCAAUUCGCUUUCCAAGUUGGUAUUUCUCUCCUUUCACCCACCAGCGUUACAGUAUGACGACCAUUUCGUGGACAAGCCUUUGCCGGCCACACGACCAGAUGACGACGGCUUACUGGACUUAUCCUUGUUUUUCAUUAUGUUAAACGCCCUAUUUAAAUUGGUGUCCCAAUGGGAGCUCUGAGACGACCCCGCGCUACUGCUUUCAGUGUCCUGCGGAAGGAAUGAACCAUUUAGAAAUUUGGCUUCAUUAAUUAGAAUGCAACCAUAUGGAGCUAAUUACGUGGGGUGUAUUCCUUACCAGAACACGCUCAAGCGCCCUGGUCUUCGCAUCCGUGGUGAGAUCCUUUGUUACUGGGUCCACCUUGUACCGGGCCCUGACAUAGUUCCUGUUCUGCUUGUCACCGUAUUUCUCGAAGCGGGGUGGUAGGCCUUGCUCGGCACGCUCCGCGUCCUCCUUGUCCCAUAUAGGUUCCGCCACUCUGUAACCGCCGGGACCGAGUUGGUGGACCCCUAAGUUCAACUCCUGCAUUUCUUUCCCCCAUUGACUUGAUUCCGCGGUUGCCUUGCUCUCGCACUUGAUCUUGAACUCCUUGUAGUCAUCUUCGCUGAUCGAAGGAUUUUUCGCCUUGAUCUUCUCAUAACUAUCACCUUUGUCAAUCAUUCUCUUCACUACGCUUCUCCAAGUAGACAGGGCCUUGCUCAUCUUCGUGAGGGCGGCACUGUUCACUUUAUUCCUUGAGAGGCGUGUGUUUGCGACGUCACCGGGGAACUUGUAUCGUUCGUGCAGCUUCGUGAAGAGGAGGUUGCGCAAAUUCCCUCGGUCCUUAUGCCUUAGGUUCUCGGUGUUGAUCGAGACAGUGCUCCGGAGAACACACCCGAGCUGAACCGCGUACCCCUUGACUAUUUCUUUGGGCGCCGUUGGAUACCCGUCGGAGUUCACUUCAGUAAAUACCUCCUUUACGGUGCUAAGCACGUUCGGGCGCCGGUCCUUCCGUUGCCUCUUCGAUUGGCUGCCAUCUAUGCGUGCGCUGCCAUCAUCAGUGGUGGCAUCCUCGGCGGCACCAUCAGUGGUGUCAUCCCCGACGCCACUAGGGGUUGUGUACUCGGGAUCGGUGUCUUUCGCGGCAUCCUCAUAGCGGUGAGGUUCUUCCUCCAUCUCCUGGGACAGCUCCCAGAAAGGCUUGGCUGAACCGCCGGCCUCAUCGUUGUGGGCCAUGUUUCGCUCUAAAUAGGAAAAACGUUUGGUCAAAUAGUUGGUUAUUGUCAAGGAACAAGAUCAUGGUCUCAUCAUUUAGGGUUUGUCGACAUCGAGGCAUCCUAAAAGCUAAGCUUUUAUCAUUUAGGGUUUGUCGACGCCGAGGCACCCUAAAAGCCUAAGCUUUCAUCAUUUAGGUUUUUAUCGACACCGAGGCACCCUAAAAGCCAAGGUUUUAUAAUUUAGGGUUUGUCGACACUGAGGCACCCUAAAUGCUAAGUUAAGUUUUCAUCAUUUAGGGUUUAUCAAUGCCGAGGCACCCUAGGUUGACUGAUAUAUAUGGGUAUCUUCUAAUAAUAUACCCUAUCAAGAAAAGGGAAGGAGAAUUCUAAGUUGGGCCUAAUCACUUGGCUCUAUUGCCACCUAUGGUUUAAUGCAGCAAGCAUAAAGGGGUAGUUGAUCCUACUUAAUUAAGUACUAAGAUACCCCGGCCCAUGCAUUAGUCGCAAGUACCCCAUAUGUCCUAUUUUUAGCAAAGUCAUGCUAAAAUUCACGGAAAAUUUCAGCAUGAUCUUUGCUGAAAAUAGGACAUAUGGAGUACCCGAAUUUGCCGGAACGGAAGUUAAUCGACAUUCCGGCAAACUCAAGGGCCUCUCGGGGUACGUGCAAAAUCAUCACGACACGAUGGUCGGGAACAAAACCCAGCAAACUAGCACCACAAUGCUAACAUCUGGAUGCACUACAACUUAGCAAAAGAGUAAAAUAGAGAUUGACACAACCAUAAGGCAGAUCAUGGAUCAAGAACAAUCAAAGGAUUCAGCAUGAGACCAUGGACUGAUCACUGAUGCAGCAAAAAACAAGAACCUACAACAGCAGGCCCAACACUAAGGGGACCAUAUCUGUUCAACAAUUCUUGAUGAACCAUCGGGGGACAGAAAUGGAAUUCGAAUGAAAUUCAUAGGAAACAUAUUGACCGAGAGUACCCAGUCGUCCUAAAAAAAGAGAUCAAUCGCUUUAAAAAAAAUUCUACCGGCAUACAAGUAUACAUCGCUUUGUAGACAAAAACUAAAAUUCAGAUGGACAGAAAAGAUUGUAGACAAAAACAUUCGACGACACAUUCAUGUUGAUUUUUUUCUUAAGGUAAUUUUGAGAAAGUUAUGGCGCAAAACAAAUAGAUAUCCUUACAGCUCCAUCCGCACAUGCCACUGCCUUGAGAAGAGCAGCAAACAUAUAAAUAUGAAACAACGAAUUCAGGGAAGCAGCUGUGAUUGGUCGACCAAGUGUGACGUUAUGCAAACUGGAUGAUUGGUGCCCAGGUGGAAACGUAGUUCUUUUCUUGAUCGCGUUUCGUUUCUUCUCCAAGCGUCUACGACGUGUGGCCUAUGUGUAUUCUACCACCUUUUCUUAGUAGAGCCCUAGCAAGAUUAUUAUGUGUUUCUAGUACCAUCGGUAUGACGUGCAAUGGGACAAGGACGACAGCAUGUGCAGAGUCCAGAACUAGCAAACGAAACUCAUCAUAUUAAUUUGUUUAAGUGAAGUAGGGAAUAUCCAGUACAUUCAGCCAUGUUGAGUUCAAAGCAAACCAGUUCACAAAAGUUAGACUAAGAAUUACUCCCUCCGUUCCAAAACGUUAGCCCUGGUUUUAAUUCAAAACAUUUGUCAUGGUUUUUAAUUCAUUUUAUGUAGUUAGCUAGGCCAUUUUAGCUGAAACUAUGCCAGUAUGUACGCCUGGUUUGACGCCGAAAGUUAACAACAGAAGCAAUUUUUUAUGGCUUCACACAUACAUCGACAAUUCAAAUAUUGGCAGCCAAGCAUGCCUAUACAUAUGCCAUUUUGCACUAAAGUUAAAAAUCAGUAUUUAGUUGAAUACGUCUUCUUGGGAAAUUUGUCUUAUUUGUUCCUAUAUAUUUUCUAUUUUUUCUACGGGUCUCCUCAGCAAGAAAAUACGGUGCCAUAGAACACCCGUCUGGAGCUAAUCACUACCAUAUCAUGGAUUGCAUAUUUGUCACCGCAAUCGUGUAUUUUUCACAUCACACGUUUUUUGGAAUCAUACAUGCAUGUUCAUCCCCUACUACACGCAUGCAUCUCAUAUCGAUUCUUUUGAAGUACUCACUCUGUAAACUAAUAUAAGAUGUUUUAGAUCAGGUGGUACUAUUGAAUUAUGCUUGCAAUGUUCAUUUCUCUCUCUUAUUUUGUUGGUUAAACUUUGGGUGACUAAGGUUUGGCAUGGUUAAUCUCAAGCUAAUUAAGCAGGUUCUUACUACUACUCCAGCUAAGAGCUAAAGGAGGAUGAGCCCUUCAGACAAGGGCCUCCACUACGUUAGCAAACCCUAAUACUGUAAUACACAUCUGCUUAGAAAAACCAGGUCACAUUUAAU